GGAUCGGUAGUUCAGUUGGUUAGAAUGCUGCCCUGUCACGGCAGAGGUCGCGGGUUCGAGUCCCGUCCGGUCCGCCU
Molecule: transfer RNA, 77 nt
Filed under: Agriterribacter soli
Lineage: Bacteria; Pseudomonadati; Bacteroidota; Chitinophagia; Chitinophagales; Chitinophagaceae
Description: Terrimonas sp. NS-102 tRNA-Asp
Rfam family: tRNA
About the family: Transfer RNA (tRNA) molecules are approximately 80 nucleotides in length. Their secondary structure includes four short double-helical elements and three loops (D, anti-codon, and T loops). Further hydrogen bonds mediate the characteristic L-shaped molecular structure. tRNAs have two regions of fundamental functional importance: the anti-codon, which is responsible for specific mRNA codon recognition, and the 3' end, to which the tRNAs corresponding amino acid is attached (by aminoacyl-tRNA synthetases). tRNAs cope with the degeneracy of the genetic code in two manners: having more than one tRNA (with a specific anti-codon) for a particular amino acid; and 'wobble' base-pairing, i.e. permitting non-standard base-pairing at the 3rd anti-codon position.
Source: RNAcentral